AGUGAACGCUGGCGGUAGGCCUAACACAUGCAAGUCGAACGGCAGCACAGUAAGAGCUUGCUCUUACGGGUGGCGAGUGGCGGACGGGUGAGGAAUACAUCGGAAUCUACUUUUUCGUGGGGGAUAACGUAGGGAAACUUACGCUAAUACCGCAUACGACCUACGGGUGAAAGUAGGGGAUCUUCGGACCUUGCGCGAUUGAAUGAGCCGAUGUCGGAUUAGCUAGUUGGCGGGGUAAAGGACCACCAAGGCGACGAUCCGUAGCUGGUCUGAGAGGAUGAUCAGCCACACUGGAACUGAGACACGGUCCAGACUCCUACGGGAGGCAGCAGUGGGGAAUAUUGGACAAUGGGCGCAAGCCUGAUCCAGCCAUACCGCGUGGGUGAAGAAGGCCUUCGGGUUGUAAAGCCCUUUUGUUGGGAAAGAAAAGCAGCAGGUUAAUACCCCGCUGUUCUGACGGUACCCAAAGAAUAAGCACCGGCUAACUUCGUG
RNAcentral lists this ribosomal RNA (492 nucleotides) under uncultured bacterium. RNAcentral's name for it is "partial 16S ribosomal RNA". It matches the Rfam family "Bacterial small subunit ribosomal RNA", at positions 29 to 507 of the family's 1533-position model. The record is from RNAcentral.